This 253-nucleotide ribosomal RNA is filed under the name uncultured bacterium. RNAcentral describes it as "partial 16S ribosomal RNA". It matches the Rfam family "Bacterial small subunit ribosomal RNA", at positions 524 to 776 of the family's 1533-position model. The record is from RNAcentral.
UACAGAGGUCUCAAGCGUUGUUCGGAUUCAUUGGGCGUAAAGGGUGCGUAGGCGGUCUGUCGCGUCGGCUGUGAAAACCCGAGGCUCAACCUCGGGCCUGCAGUCGAUACGGGCAAACUAGAGUACUGCAGGGGAGACUGGAAUUCCUGGUGUAGCGGUGAAAUGCGCAGAUAUCAGGAGGAACACCGGUGGCGAAGGCGGGUCUCUGGGCAGUAACUGACGCUGAGGAGCGAAAGCGUGGGGAGCGAACAGG